RNAcentral lists this ribosomal RNA (89 nucleotides) under Bacteroides fragilis CL05T12C13. The record is from RNAcentral. Lineage: Bacteria; Pseudomonadati; Bacteroidota; Bacteroidia; Bacteroidales; Bacteroidaceae.
UCCACCUCUUCCCAUUCCGAACAGAGAAGUUAAGCCUGAUCACGCCGAUGGUACUGCGUAACAGUGGGAGAGUAGGUAGUCGCCGUUUU